This 252-nucleotide unclassified non-coding RNA is filed under the name Hevea brasiliensis (rubber tree). Lineage: Eukaryota; Viridiplantae; Streptophyta; Magnoliopsida; Malpighiales; Euphorbiaceae. The record is from RNAcentral.
GAGACAGAUGAUGAUUUGAUGGAAGAACUCCAUAUGAAGCCACUGGAUGAUGUGAAGGAUAAAAAAUUUGAAUCAGAGUUUAAGGAGCUGUAUCAGACUGAUGAGGAGAUUGAUGAUUUGUACAGCGCCAAGGACUGUCAUGAAGAAAAUCCUGAAGGAUGAGUACUUCAACAUGGAUGACAAUAAAUGGGAUGAGAUGAUUAAGGAGGCAAUGGAACAAGGUUUUUUGAAGGACACAAGGGAAUGUGAGGA